CAAGCGGUGGAGCAUGUGGUUUAAUUCGAAGCAACGCGAAGAACCUUACCAAGGCUUGACAUCCCUUUGAAAAGCAUAGAGAUAUGUUCCCUCUUCGGAGCAAAGGUGAACAGGUGGUGCAUGGUUGUCGUCAGCUCGUGUCGUGAGAUGUUGGGUUAAGUCCCGCAACGAGCGCAACCCUUAUCUUUAGUAGCCAGUGGGUAAAGCCAGGCACACUAGAGAGACUGCCGUGGAUAACACGGAGGAAGGUGGGGACGACGUCAAAUCAUCAUGCCCCUUAUGUCUUGGGCAACACACGUGCUACAAUGGCUCAUACAAAGUGACCCAAGCUAGUGAUAGCAAGCAAACCACAAAAAAAGAGCCUCAGUUCGGAUUGUAGUCUGCAACUCGACUACAUGAAGUUAGAAUCGCUAGUAAUCGCGAAUCAGCAUGUCGCGGUGAAUACGUUCCCGGGCCUUGUACACACCGCCCGUCACAGCCAUGGGAGUUGGAUGCACCCGAMGUCUGUGACCUGACCCGUAAGGGAAGGAGCAGCCUAAGGUGAAGU
Molecule: ribosomal RNA, 547 nt
Filed under: uncultured Eubacterium sp.
Lineage: Bacteria; Bacillati; Bacillota; Clostridia; Eubacteriales; Eubacteriaceae
Description: bacterial SSU rRNA
Rfam family: Bacterial small subunit ribosomal RNA
Source: RNAcentral